Molecule: ribosomal RNA, 253 nt
Filed under: uncultured bacterium
Lineage: Bacteria
Description: partial 16S ribosomal RNA
Rfam family: Bacterial small subunit ribosomal RNA
Source: RNAcentral
UACGUAGGUGGCAAGCGUUGUCCGGAUUUACUGGGCGUAAAGAGCGCGCAGGCGGUCGUUCAAGUCGCGUGUGAAAGCCCCCGGCUCAACUGGGGAGGGUCACGCGAUACUGAUCGACUCGAAGGCAGGAGAGGGUAGUGGAAUUCCCGGUGUAGUGGUGAAAUGCGUAGAUAUCGGGAGGAACACCAGUGGCGAAGGCGACUACCUGGCCUGUUCUUGACGCUGAGGCACGAAAGCUAGGGGAGCAAACGGG